CUGGAUUGUAAACAAACAGUAGGAGUUUCUUUCCACAGUGGAAGGGAGAAUAAUGAGAAGAAGGAUGCAGAAGAGAGGGGAAAGUUGAAAGUAGCUGAUAUGGGACCACAGAAUAUUGGCCAAUCAAUUGUAAUGACUAUACUUAUACCUAAACAAGUAAUAAAUAAAUGCAUUUGGCUUCCUUACCUUGAGUAUUGAAUCAACAUUUGAAAACAAAGUAAUCAACCUUUGGCAAUUUGUCCUUCAGAGAGAGAAAAACUCCCUUAGAAACCCAUAUUAAAAGAAACGUGCACAUGUAUCCCAGAACUUAAAGUAAAAUAAAAAAUAAAAGAAAAGAAAAGAAACAUGGGGAAAAAGGAGCAAGAGGAAGUUGAGAAGAAAAUUCAAGAAGGUGGUGCUACAAGGGCUUCUCAAUUUUGUACUUUUUCCUUUCAACAUUUUCUCUCCUGGACCCAAGAAACAUCAAAGGACUUUGUAUUCUCCAGUGAAUGAAGGAUAAAAAUUAGACAUGGAGACACUUGGUUUGGCAGAGCAGGUGACAAGCCUGAAGACCGUGAGUUAAGAUCAUAGAGCCACAGACCAGAAGCAGCCUGCAUCCCUGAAUCCCAGUACGGAAUAAAGUGUCACCUGAACUGCUUCAGACUUUGUGGGAAUGAGAAACAAACCUUCCUUUUAGUAAGCCUCAUAUUUGUUAAUUUUAUAUUUCAGGGUUUAUUUAUUAGUUCAGUAUAGCCAGUCUUGUCACAUUUUACGGAAAUAUUCUUGACUUUCUUUCUGAAAUGUCUGGUUAAAUGUUUAUAGACAAUUUAAUAGACAUGUAAUGUGUUUGUUAAAUGUCUGCACACAUAGAGAAUAAUCAGAAACUCACUGGACACAUUUUUGUCUUUAGUUAUGACAAAGUACACUCCCAUAGGAUGAUCAGAAGCUUCCUUUUUAUGGGCAAUACUGUAAGCUAAAAACAAGACAGGUAGAAAACAGUAAUGGGUCAAAAACAUGAGCACUGAUUAUGCUGACUACACUAUUAACAAGACUUUGGUUGCUUUAUAAAAUCAAACUCCAUGCUUGUUUUUUCUUAGCUCCACUGCAGUCCACUCUUAUAAUCUGAAGAGGCUCCUAUGAUCAGAGUCAAAGAUAUAAAUGCUAGGAUGCCACAAAAAUGAGGAAGAAGAAACACCCUGUUAGCAAUGUCCAGGUGUGACAAAAUAAACUGCAACAAUAAACUGGAGGGCUAGUUGAUGCAAAAAAUAAUCUGACUCUUCAAUCUUAUUGGGCCUUUAUUUAUGUGGUUGAGUUUGUGAUGAAUAGUUUCAGGAUAGGCACCUUGACUUGUCUACAGUGCUACAAUCCCACCUAAGAGUUACAGAUGGUCUCU
Molecule: long non-coding RNA, 1372 nt
Filed under: Homo sapiens (human)
Lineage: Eukaryota; Metazoa; Chordata; Mammalia; Primates; Hominidae
Description: HSALNT0328046
Source: RNAcentral